AUUCCGGUUGAUCCUGCCGGAGGUCAUUGCUAUUGGAGUCCGAUUUAGCCAUGCUAGUUGCACGAGUUCAGACUCGUAGCAGAUAGCUCAGUAACACGUGGCCAAACUACCCUAUGGAUCCGAAUAACCUCGGGAAACUGAGGCUAAUUCGGAAUACGGCUCACCACCUGGAGUGGUGUGAGCCCGAAACGCUCCGGCGCCAUAGGAUGUGGCUGCGGCCGAUUAGGUAGACGGUGGGGUAACGGCCCACCGUGCCCAUAAUCGGUACGGGUUGUGAGAGCAAGAGCCCGGAGACGGUAUCUGAGACAAGAUACCGGGCCCUACGGGGCGCAGCAGGCGCGAAACCUUUACACUGCACGAAAGUGCGAUAAGGGGACUCCAAGUGCGAGGGCAUAUAGUCCUCGCUUUUUGCGACCGUAAGGUGGUCGCGGAAUAAGUGCUGGGCAAGACCGGUGCCAGCCGCCGCGGUAAUACCGGCAGCACGAGUGAUGACCGCUAUUAUUGGGCCUAAAGCGUCCGUAGCUGGCCAUGCAAGUCCAUCGGGAAAUCCGCGCGCUUAACGCGCGGGCGUCCGGUGGAAACUGCAUGGCUUGGGACCGGAAGACCAGAGGGGUACGUCCGGGGUAGGAGUGAAAUCCCGUAAUCCUGGACGGACCACCGGUGGCGAAAGCGCCUCUGGAAGACGGAUCCGACGGUGAGGGACGAAAGCUCGGGUCACGAACCGGAUUAGAUACCCGGGUAGUCCGAGCUGUAAACGAUGUCUGCUAGGUGUGGCACAGGCUACGAGCCUGUGCUGUGCCGCAGGGAAGCCGUGAAGCAGACCGCCUGGGAAGUACGUCCGCAAGGAUGAAACUUAAAGGAAUUGGCGGGGGAGCACUACAACCGGAGGAGCCUGCGGUUUAAUUGGACUCAACGCCGGACAUCUCACCAGCAUCGACAAUGUGCAGUGAAAGUCAGGUUGAUGACCUUACUGGAGCCAUUGAGAGGAGGUGCAUGGCCGCCGUCAGCUCGUACCGU
This 1017-nucleotide ribosomal RNA is filed under the name Haloterrigena sp. IARI-SNAB3. Its description in RNAcentral is "bacterial SSU rRNA". It matches the Rfam family "Archaeal small subunit ribosomal RNA", at positions 1 to 1017 of the family's 1478-position model. The record is from RNAcentral. Lineage: Archaea; Methanobacteriati; Methanobacteriota; Halobacteria; Halobacteriales; Natrialbaceae. RNAcentral also lists the same sequence under 1 other name.